UUGAACGCUGGCGGCAGGCCUAACACAUGCAAGUCGAGCGGAGGAAGGGAGCUUGCUCCUGGAUUCAGCGGCGGACGGGUGAGUAAUGCCUAGGAAUCUGCCUGGUAGUGGGGGAUAACGUCCGGAAACGGGCGCUAAUACCGCAUACGUCCUGAGGGAGAAAGUGGGGGAUCUUCGGACCGCACGCUAUCAGAUGAGCCUAGGUCGGAUUAGCUAGUUGGUGGGGUAAAGGCCUACCAAGGCGACGAUCCGUAACUGGUCUGAGAGGAUGAUCAGUCACACUGGAACUGAGACACGGUCCAGACUCCUACGGGAGGCAGCAGUGGGGAAUAUUGGACAAUGGGCGAAAGCCUGAUCCAGCCAUGCCGCGUGUGUGAAGAAGGUCUUCGGAUUGUAAAGCACUUUAAGUUGGGAGGAAGGGCAGUAAGUUAAUACCUUGCUGUUUUGACGUUACCAACAGAAUAAGCACCGGCUAACUUCGUG
Molecule: ribosomal RNA, 483 nt
Filed under: uncultured bacterium
Lineage: Bacteria
Description: partial 16S ribosomal RNA
Rfam family: Bacterial small subunit ribosomal RNA
Source: RNAcentral